RNAcentral lists this ribosomal RNA (353 nucleotides) under uncultured bacterium. Its description in RNAcentral is "bacterial SSU rRNA". It matches the Rfam family "Bacterial small subunit ribosomal RNA", at positions 8 to 350 of the family's 1533-position model. The record is from RNAcentral.
AGAGUUUGAUCCUGGCUCAGGAUGAACGCUAGCUACAGGCUUAACACAUGCAAGUCGAGGGGAAACGACAUCGAAAGCUUGCUUUUGAUGGGCGUCGACCGGCGCACGGGUGAGUAACGCGUAUCCAACCUGCCCACCACUUGGGGAUAACCUUGCGAAAGUAAGACUAAUACCCAAUGACGUCUCUAGAAGACAUCUGAAGGAGAUUAAAGAUUUAUCGGUGAUGGAUGGGGAUGCGUCUGAUUAGCUUGUUGGCGGGGUAACGGCCCACGAAGGCGACGAUCAGUAGGGGUUCUGGAGAGGAAGGUCCCCCANAUUGGAACUGAGACACGGUCCAAACGUCCACGGGAGCA